This 865-nucleotide long non-coding RNA is filed under the name Homo sapiens (human). Its description in RNAcentral is "HSALNT0139108". Lineage: Eukaryota; Metazoa; Chordata; Mammalia; Primates; Hominidae. The record is from RNAcentral.
UGGUUAGCUGCCUGGUGCGGGUGCUGAGUUGACCUAGGGUUCUGUUUCGCUGGGGUUGGCAUUUUGUACAGCCAAUACAACCGAGAAUGAUGGCCGUCGGAGCUCGGAGUGAAUACAGCGAAUGAUUCCAAUAGGAACCACGGACUCUGAUCUGGGUAAACAGGGAACAGCAUUAGACUCUUUACAGAAUUCUUUCUCAAGAGGAUUUAGACUCCUUUUCUAUUGAUAGGGCAUAAGAAUUGACUCAGACCUAGAAACUGGCUGGGACCAUCUCAUAAUGUUUGUGUACAUUCCUGUUGUCUUCUACCUCCCAUCCACCGUGUCUCUCUACUGCCUAUAACCAGCCUACAUAAGUUCUUUCAAGAGAUCAAGAAAGAAACAGAAAUCUAGACAGAGAAGGUGAAAAAGAGAAGACCUAACAGAGAGCUAAGAAAGAUAAAUGUGAUUGGAGAGGAAACUAUCCCCAAUUCUCUCUUCAUUGACAUUUGGGGCUGUACCAGUUUACAUUUUCACCAACAUUCCCACCAUUGUGGUGGCCAGCAACUGAGGAGGCUGAGAUAAGUGGAUUCCCUGAGCCCAGGAGGUGGAGGUUGCAGUUAGCCAAGAUUGCGUCACUGCACUCCAGCCUAGGCAACAGAGUGAGACCUGUCUCAAAAAAAAAAAAAAAAAAGAGUUAAAUUAAAAAAUAAAUAAAAGUCAUUUGACCAUAUAUGUGAUUGUUUAUUUCUUGCUCUCCAUCUAUUCUAUUUACCUAUAUAUCUAUCUUUAUUCCAGUACAAUGCUGUUUUUAUUAUUGUAACUUUGAAAAAAAAUUUUAAAAUCUAGAAGUGUGAUCUUUAACUUUUGUUCUUUUUCAAAAUUGUUU